GCUUUGGACUCAGAGCAGAGGCCGGCGAGCUGCGAACUGGCGGGCUGCGGGUGGCUGCGGACCGCACCGCGGGGAGGCGGAAAGUUUCUCCGCCCGCCUCGUCCUGCGAGCCGGCGUCGCCCGCUGCGGGCCCUGCCCGGCCGAGCAGUUCCGCAAAAAGAGAGGAUCGCACAGCAAAAUACAGUGGAAACAAAACCCCAAGCCAGCCGCGAGGCGCAGGGGGCAGGUGUGCCAGAAGUCAGGCGAGAUCUCGCUCUUGAAGCAGCAGCUCAAGGAGUCCCAGGCCGAGGUGAACGCCAAGGCCAGCGAGAUCCUCAGUCUGAAGGCGCAGCUGAAGGACACCCGGGGCAAGCUGGAGGGCAUGGAGCUGAGGACGCAGGACCUGGAGAGUGCCCUGCGCACCAAGGGCCUGGAGCUGGAGGUGUGUGAGAACGAGCUGCAGCGCAAGAAGAACGAGGCGGAGCUGCUGCGGGAGAAGGUGAACCUCCUGGAGCAAGAGCUGCUGGAGCUGCGGGCCCAGGCUACCCUGCAGCGGAGGGCGCAGCCCUGGGGCCCAGGCUGGGAGCUGCACCCACCUUCUCAGAGGACAUCCCCGCCCUGCAGAGGGAGCUGGAGCAGCUGCGGGCGGAGCUGAAGGAGGAGCGGCAAGGCCACGACCAGAUGUCCUCCGGCUUCCAGCAGGAGCGGCUGGUGUGGAGGGGAGGAGAAGGAGAAGGUGAUCCAGUACCAGAAGCAGCUGCAGCAGAGCUACCUGGCCAUGUACCAGCGCAACCAGCGCCUGGAGAAGGCCCUGCAGCAGCUGGCCCGCGGGGAAGGGGCCGGGGAGCCCUUUGAGAUUGACCUGGAAGGGGCCGACAUCCCCUACGAGGACAUCAUAGCCACGGAGAUCUGAGGGGCCACCUGGGGGAGGGGGGCUGGGGACCUGGUGGCGGGGGCUGGGCUGAGUCUUCCCGAGGAGGCCCCCGUGCCAUCUGCCCUGCACAGCAGCUCCGGCCUCCCGAGCUCAGCCCUCCCGAGCUCAGCCCCUGGAGCUGCUUGUGGGCAGGGGUCACUACAUCGCCUCCUUCCUCUGACCCCUCCUCCCCAACUCUACAGAGCACGGGACUUUGGGCUCUACUCCCCAGCUCUCCCCGAGAUGGGACGGCACAGGGUCCCUGUGGUCGGUUAAGGGCUCCCUGAACCUUGGCCUCUGCUCAAGUGAGAGAGACCCUCUGCCGUGAAACCGAGUGCCUGCCCUGAAGGCCAAAAGGCCACACCAAGGACAGAAGCUCCCUUCUGCGUCACUUCCCCAAACCCCCGACCCGGACACUUCAGGAUGCCUUGGGAAUAGAAAGAAGCCAUGUGUGCCCAGAAGCCUUGAUCUGUCCUCACGACCUGAGCCCUUCUCCUCUGGCCUCGGAGGUGUAGGGGUCGGGAUGGGGCUCGGGGAGCGGCUGGGGUACAGCGGGGCUGAGGAAUGAGGACCGGCAGCAGAUUAGUGGGGUCUGACAUCUAACUGAGCUGUGCAGCCCCUGAACAUCUGGUGACAUUUGCCUCGGUGACCACCCCUCUCAAAGCCAUAGACACAGAGGCUCUGGGUGGGGUGCCGGGACAGGGACACUGAGGCCUGGCCUUCCAGCUGCCCCAGGGAGCCUCCUGCAUGUGCCAGCUAGGGCUGAGGGUGCCUUGUGAUCUGGGAAUCUCGCCCCUCACCUGUGGCCCAAGUCAGCGUCCUCUCCUCCCCACAACAUCUUCAGCACUCAGUUCUGGGUCUGCCCAGGUCGGGACGGGCGCCCAGCGUCCUUGGGUGUGUGGGGUGCACACACAGCCUUAUGGACAGCCGGGGCUAUCACUGCCCUCCCGCUACCUCUCGCCCUCAGGAGCCGUGGGCUGUGAGUCCCUGCCAAGAGCAGUGGCCGUCCAGGGACACAGCCAGUGCCUGUGGAAGGUUAGGCUUUCUCUUGAAAUGUCCAGAGCAAGGGGGGAAGAACAGCAGUUUCUCAGUUGCUUGGUUCAGGGAAUUUUCUUUCUUUCUUUUCUGGUCUUCUCAGAAGCAAGCCAGAUCUAGCAGGCAGCCAGGCUGCUCCGAGUUAUAUUUUUGACAUAGCUGCAGCUGCCGUUGGCAGGACAGCCAGCCCUUGCUGGAUUCCUGCUCCUCACGCCUGCCUGCUGAGAGGGCCCAGGGUGGAGGAGAGACAGAUGCACCAGAGUCUAGGUACUUGGUGGUCCGAGAACAGUCCCCGGUCCUGGCUUCUUUCCGCAAGCUGAUCCCAGAGGCCGGGCAGGAAUGGGGCUCGAACUCGCAUCCAGCCCUACCCUGAGUGGGGCACCAUCCUUAAGGCCCGAGUCACCUGUUCCCUGGCUCAGGCCGUGCCUGUCCUGCUGUGCUCCCAGGACAGGGGCAUCCCCUGGAGUCUCAAUCCACUGUUCUUAGUCACAGGUUGCUUUGAAACCUGGAAUGGCCAGGCUCAAGGGCCCCUCCGUGUCCCCUCCACUGGGGACGCUGCAGACCUGGAUCAGACAUGCCCUGUACCUUGUUUGAGUCGAUCCCAUGGAGAGUGAGAAUGGAGCCAGCUGCUCUUCCUUGGCCUGAGGCCCCCUGCCCCCAGGUGUACCCUGGGCAGGGCAGGGCAGACAUCAGACACACUCACUGGGAGCUAGGCCUUCCCUUUCCAUGGCCCUGUGGCCCCUGCCCAUCUCAGACAUCCACCUGCCCGGGCCAUGCCCCCCCCCCCGGCCGAGGUGGCACCAGAAUGCAAGGGUGCUGCCCCUCACCUUCCUGUGUGUUUCCUUCCUUCCUUGCCAUCGGAAAGCACCCUCGCUAUUACUGGACCUGUGCACCAAACCCAGCCUCUGAAGGGAGGCUGUGGGCAGCAGAGGCCAAGCAGGGCCUGGGGAGGCUGAGCUCAGCAAGGCGGCCUGGGGGUGCUUGCUCACUUAGACCUAUACUGUCUGCUCCCCAAAAGGUCUGGGCCUGAUGGUGCUCUGGUCUCCGCAGAGAGCAUCAGCACCCCCUCUCCACGGAGGGGGUCACUUUGGGUAUCAGGGCUACCAAACCCCACGGGCACCUCCUGGGUGUGUUCUGUGAGCUCCAGCCAGGUGCACUUAGCCCCCAUGGCACUGAGCGAGGGUGGGGGCCAGCGAUUGGCAGAUCUCCCCAGAAGGCAUCCACUGAGCUGUGUCCCUGACCCCAGCCAGGGCCAUCUCAGGUGACAGCGCUGCCCAAGGAGAAGCCAGGCUGGGCCAUGGGAGCAGCAGCCUCCGGCCGGGGGUUCCCUGUGGCCCUGCCCUCCCAAAGGCCAUGGCACCUGCCCUCUGUGCUGUCUCUGGCAAAGCUGGAGCCUGGCAGAAGCUGGCUUUGGGUGCCUGGCCCUUUGAAGACGCUGUACAUAGUUAUUUUUCUCUGUUUCUGGUUUGCUUUGCAUUGCUUUCGGUGACUUCUUAUUUUAUUUUUGAUGUCACUUUUUGGUCAUGUAAACUAUUUCUGGUAAUUCUGUGAUUUAUUUAUGAAUAAAGAAUGCCAUUUCUCAUGCCUUUCACAGCCACUUUUGCCUCCUCAAGCUGCUGUGCUCCCCCCUGCUGUGGGG
This is a long non-coding RNA of Heterocephalus glaber (naked mole-rat), 3566 nucleotides long. Lineage: Eukaryota; Metazoa; Chordata; Mammalia; Rodentia; Bathyergidae. The record is from Ensembl.